UGCAGUCGAACGACAUAGUGGCAGACGGGUGAGUAACGCGUGGGAACGUGCCCUUCACUACGGAAUAGCUUCUGGAAACGGAAGGUAAUACCGUAUACGCCCUUCGGGGGAAAGAUUUAUCGGUGAAGGAUCGGCCCGCGUUAGAUUAGAUAGUUGGUGGGGUAAUGGCCUACCAAGUCUACGAUCUAUAGCUGGUCUGAGAGGAUGAUCAGCCACACUGGGACUGAGACACGGCCCAGACUCCUACGGGAGGCAGCAGUGGGGAAUCUUGCACAAUGGGCGAAAGCCUGAUGCAGCCAUGCCGCGUGAAUGAUGAAGGCCUUAGGGUUGUAAAAUUCUUUCGCCAGGGAUGAUAAUGACAGUACCUGGUAAAGAAGCCCCGGCUAACUUCGUGCCAGCAGCCGCGGUAAUACGAAGGGGGCUAGCGUUGUUCGGAAUUACUGGGCGUAAAGCGCGCGUAGGCGGGCUAUUAAGCCAGAUGUGAAAGCCCGGGGCUCAACCCCGGAAUUGCAUUUGGAACUGGUAGCCUAUAGACCAUGAGAGGUUAGCGGAAUACCCAGUGU
Molecule: ribosomal RNA, 563 nt
Filed under: Henriciella sp.
Lineage: Bacteria; Pseudomonadati; Pseudomonadota; Alphaproteobacteria; Hyphomonadales; Hyphomonadaceae
Description: bacterial SSU rRNA
Rfam family: Bacterial small subunit ribosomal RNA
Source: RNAcentral